AGAGUUUGAUCCUGGCUCAGGACGGACGCUGGCGGCGUGCCUAAUACAUGCAAGUCGAGCGGACCUUUCGGGGUCAGCGGCGGACGGGUGAGUAACACGUGGGCAAUCUGCCCGAUACUCUGGGAUAACGCUUGGAAACGAGUGCUAAUACCGGAUGGUCUUCUUGGCCGCAUGGCCGAAAAGGAAAAGACGCGUUCGCGUCGGUGUCGGAUGAGCCCGCGGCGCAUUAGCUAGUUGGUGAGGUAACGGCCCACCAAGGCGACGAUGCGUAGCCGACCUGAGAGGGUGACCGGCCACACUGGGACUGAGACACGGCCCAGACUCCUACGGGAGGCAGCAGUAGGGAAUCUUCCACAAUGGGCGAAAGCCUGAUGGAGCAACGCCGCGUGAGUGAUGAAGGCCUUCGGGUUGUAAAACUCUGUCAUUCGGGACGAACCGGAGUCUGAGGAAAUGCAGACUCUCUGACGGUACCGGAGGAGGAAGCCCCGGCUAACUACGUGCCAGCAGCCGCGGUAAUACGUAGGGGGCAAGCGUUGUCCGGAUUCACUGGGCGUAAAGCGCGCGCAGGCGGUGAUGUAAGUCUGAGGUGAAAACCCGAAGCUCAACUUCGGGACUGCCUUGGAUACUGCGUUACUUGAGGAUAGGAGAGGCAAGGGGAAUUCCACGUGUAGUGUAAAA
Molecule: ribosomal RNA, 678 nt
Filed under: uncultured bacterium
Lineage: Bacteria
Description: bacterial SSU rRNA
Rfam family: Bacterial small subunit ribosomal RNA
Source: RNAcentral